GGUCGGUUGGUGCAAUGGUAGCAUGUAGACCUCCUAUUACUGUACACCCGGUGAGCCCGGUGUGCCGGCAGUAGGUCUAGUCUAGGGUUGCGGGUUCGAGUCCCGUGCUGACCG
Non-coding RNA from Xylaria intraflava, 114 nucleotides. The record is from the annotation of a GenBank genome assembly. NCBI's taxonomy places the organism in Eukaryota, Fungi, Ascomycota, Sordariomycetes, Xylariales, Xylariaceae.